AUUCAUUUAGUUUAUAUAAAAUAUUGAAUUGUGGUUUCAGUGAACUUUAUUUAGGGUGAAUA
RNAcentral lists this transfer RNA (62 nucleotides) under Loxocephala perpunctata. RNAcentral describes it as "tRNA-His". The record is from RNAcentral. Lineage: Eukaryota; Metazoa; Arthropoda; Insecta; Hemiptera; Eurybrachidae. RNAcentral also lists the same sequence under 1 other name.